UUGAUCCCUGGCUCAGGAUGAACGCUGGCGGCGUGCCUAAUACAUGCAAGUCGAGCGAAUGGAUUAAGAGCUUGCUCUUAUGAAGUUAGCGGCGGACGGGUGAGUAACACGUGGGUAACCUACCCAUAAGACUGGGAUAACUCCGGGAAACCGGGGCUAAUACCGGAUAAUAUUUUGAACUGCAUAGUUCGAAAUUGAAAGGCGGCUUCGGCUGUCACUUAUGGAUGGACCCGCGUCGCAUUAGCUAGUUGGUGAGGUAACGGCUCACCAAGGCGACGAUGCGUAGCCGACCUGAGAGGGUGAUCGGCCACACUGGGACUGAGACACGGCCCAGACUCCUACGGGAGGCAGCAGUAGGGAAUCUUCCGCAAUGGACGAAAGUCUGACGGAGCAACGCCGCGUGAGUGAUGAAGGCUUUCGGGUCGUAAAACUCUGUUGUUAGGGAAGAACAAGUGCUAGUUGAAUAAGCUGGCACCUUGACGGUACCUAACCAGAAAGCCACGGCUA
RNAcentral lists this ribosomal RNA (507 nucleotides) under Bacillaceae bacterium CL3.109. RNAcentral describes it as "bacterial SSU rRNA". It matches the Rfam family "Bacterial small subunit ribosomal RNA", at positions 13 to 499 of the family's 1533-position model. RNAcentral also lists the same sequence under 1 other name. The record is from RNAcentral. Lineage: Bacteria; Bacillati; Bacillota; Bacilli; Caryophanales; Bacillaceae.